RNAcentral lists this ribosomal RNA (253 nucleotides) under uncultured bacterium. RNAcentral's name for it is "partial 16S ribosomal RNA". It matches the Rfam family "Bacterial small subunit ribosomal RNA", at positions 524 to 776 of the family's 1533-position model. The record is from RNAcentral.
UACGUAGGGCGCAAGCGUUGUCCGGAAUUAUUGGGCGUAAAGAGCUCGUAGGCGGCUUGUCACGUCGAUUGUGAAAGCUCGGGGCUUAACCCCGAGUCUGCAGUCGAUACGGGCUAGCUAGAGUGUGGUAGGGGAGAUCGGAAUUCCUGGUGUAGCGGUGAAAUGCGCAGAUAUCAGGAGGAACACCGGUGGCGAAGGCGGAUCUCUGGGCCAUUACUGACGCUGAGGAGCGAAAGCGUGGGGAGCAAACAGG